GACAAAAUCAGAGGAGAAAGAAAUGUUGUCUUCCUGUAAGGGCAUUUUCCAGAAGGUCGACGACCUGUUUCAAUGUACACCUCAUCAACUGGAAUUCAGUCCCAUGGCAGUCGUCAGCUGGAAGGGAAAUAACCAAGGCCAAGCUCCAAGAAAAGAAUGAUUUUUAUGAAACUAUGGGAUUAUUCAACAAAGUCGUAUUGAAUAUAUGCUUAUAUCUUUCUCCUAUCAACAAGAAGAGAACCUAAGUGCCAUUUUUUCUCAAGAUUUCGGAGUCAUUUUCUCCAACACUUGAAUUGCCUCUUCAAAGCUAAAAGACUGGGCAGUUCUGAAUGAAUAACCCAGAAGUGAGACAACCAGAAGCUGUAUAAAUCAAGUGGGAUUUCUAACA
Long non-coding RNA from Suricata suricatta (meerkat), 388 nucleotides. RefSeq lists it as uncharacterized. The record is from RefSeq and is a predicted model, not a curated record. The transcript is spliced from 3 exons. NCBI's taxonomy places the organism in Eukaryota, Metazoa, Chordata, Mammalia, Carnivora, Herpestidae.